Long non-coding RNA from Culex pipiens pallens (northern house mosquito), 306 nucleotides. RefSeq lists it as uncharacterized. The transcript has 2 exons. The record is from RefSeq and is a predicted model, not a curated record. NCBI's taxonomy places the organism in Eukaryota, Metazoa, Arthropoda, Insecta, Diptera, Culicidae.
AUUCAUCUUCACCAGCUCAGCCCAGCAUUCUCAACAAUCAGCAUCAGUAUUGAAGAAAUACAACCCAUCCACACAACAAUGAAGUUCCUGCUGUACCUUCUGGUCAUCGUUGGCAGUCUGUUCGCACUGCAGGUUGGAGCCGUUCCCGAGCCAGACGAGCGCAUGCACCACUAUCCGUCGCCCCAGCCGGAUGCCGGCAAGUAGAACCGCACCAUGGUGGGACCAUGUGGUGACUUUGACAUGAAGAUGCCGAAGGAGAACUAACCGCUGAUGACGUUUCAAUAAAAUUAUCAAAAUAAAAAUAAA